RNAcentral lists this ribosomal RNA (220 nucleotides) under uncultured bacterium. RNAcentral describes it as "partial 16S ribosomal RNA". It matches the Rfam family "Bacterial small subunit ribosomal RNA", at positions 111 to 334 of the family's 1533-position model. The record is from RNAcentral.
UAACGCGUAGGUGACCUGCCCUGAAGUGGGGAAUAACUGCCCGAAAGGGUGGCUAAUACCGCAUGUGGUGGUUCGUUCGUUCGAACCAGCAAAGCAGCGAUGCGCUUCGGGAGGGGCCUGCGUCCGAUUAGCUCGUUGGUGGGGUAAUGGCUCACCAAGGCGACAUCGGUAGGUGGUCUGAGAGGACGAUCACCCAGACUGGGACUGAGACACGGCCCAG